CGCGGCCUAUCAGCUUGUUGGUGGAGUAACGGCCUACCAAGGCAACGACGGGUAGCUGGUCUGAGAGGACGAUCAGCCACACUGGGACUGAGACACGGCCCAGACUCCUACGGGAGGCAGCAGUGGGGAAUCUUGCGCAAUGGGCGAAAGCCUGACGCAGCAACGCCGCGUGAGGGACGAAGGUCUUCGGGUUGUAAACCUCUUUCAGCAGGGACGAUUGUGACGGUACCUGCAGAAGAAGCCCCGGCCAACUACGUGCCAGCAGCCGCGGUAAUACGUAGGGGGCGAGCGUUGUCCGGAUUCAUUGGGCGUAAAGAGCUCGUAGGCGGCUUGGUUAGUUGGGUGUGAAACCUCCAGGCUUAACCUGGAGACGCCACUCAAUACUGCCAUGGCUAGAGUCCGGUAGGGGACCACGGAAUUCCUGGUGUAGCGGUGAAAUGCGCAGAUAUCAGGAGGAACACCGGUGGCGAAGGCGGUGGUCUGGGCCGGCACUGACGCUGAGGAGCGAAAGCGUGGGGAGCGAACAGGAUUAGAUACCCUGGUAGUCCACGCCGUAAACGUUGGGCACUAGGUGUGGGGGAUUAUCAACGUCCUCCGUGCCGUAGCUAACGCAUUAAGUGCCCCGCCUGGGGAGUAA
RNAcentral lists this ribosomal RNA (637 nucleotides) under uncultured bacterium. RNAcentral describes it as "bacterial SSU rRNA". It matches the Rfam family "Bacterial small subunit ribosomal RNA", at positions 232 to 883 of the family's 1533-position model. The record is from RNAcentral.